RNAcentral lists this long non-coding RNA (657 nucleotides) under Sorghum bicolor (sorghum). RNAcentral describes it as "long non-coding RNA (SBIC_LNC005885)". The record is from RNAcentral. Lineage: Eukaryota; Viridiplantae; Streptophyta; Magnoliopsida; Poales; Poaceae.
AACGCGAAGCACCCCAUCUGAAGACGAGGCGAGCGGGCACGAUCCUGCCGGGUAAUUUUGGGGAAGGGGCAGUGAGGCCAUUAGAAGGGGCUGGGUUGGAUAGGGAGGCGGCGGGUGGUGCGUGCGACCGCACCUCUUCCCUUACCCAGUGACGGGCUUCACUGGCGAUGCCGGCGUAGCCGAGGCGCUGACGAAGGGUGAGCUAGGACAUGGCAGCGCGUCGGUUCCACUCCAGAUGCGAGGUUGUCCUCCUCAUGGACUACGCCACCGGGUGCGCUACCGCCGAGGUCGCCAUGCUACGGCGCGGACAUGGCUUCAGCCGAGGUAGAGCGUCAUGGUGUUGGGCGGAGUCGCUAUGGGGCAAGACCGUAGCAUGUGUGGUGGAGGCUAGUCGUGCCCUGGCGACUGGUGGCGUGCACUGGUUGUGUGUCCGGUAGUGUGAUUGACGGUGCGAAGAGGAAGGAGCGCGCGGGGAAGGAAGGAUUGUGGGGAGGAGAUGGAUGGCACAAUCACACGGGGAAGGAAGGAUCGCGUGGGGGAAGGAGCGCCGGUUGCGUGAUUGACGGUGUGGCGAGGGAUCGCAUGUAUGGGCAGACGGACGAACCAAAAUAAAGUUGCACCAAAAAAUAUCCACACUUUAUUCUUUUUAGUUGUAGG